Molecule: ribosomal RNA, 489 nt
Filed under: Bostryx laurentii
Lineage: Eukaryota; Metazoa; Mollusca; Gastropoda; Stylommatophora; Orthalicidae
Description: partial 16S ribosomal RNA
Rfam family: Bacterial large subunit ribosomal RNA
Source: RNAcentral
CGCCUGUUUAACAAAAACAUAACUUGUAGGUUAUUAUUACAUGCUAAACCUGCUCAAUGAUUUAGAUUAAAUAGCCGCAGUACCUUGACUGUGCUAAGGUAGCAUAAUCAUUUGGCCUUUAAUUGGGGUCUAGUAUGAAAGGAUUAAUUAAGGGAGUCUGUCUUUUUAGCAUUAUAAUUAACUUUAUUAGAAGGUGAAAAUGCCUUUAGAUGAAAUGAAAGACGAGAAGACCCUUAGACUUAUCUACAAAACUAUAUAGUCAUAUAUAUUUCGUUUUUGCUGGGGCGGCAAAGCUUCAACAUAAACAAGCUUUAAUUUUUUUUAUAUAACAAGUAUUAAUUCUUACAAGUUAAGUACCUAAGGGAUAACAGCAUUAUUAAAUAUUUAGAUUGUGACCUCGAUGUUGGACUAGGAAAAGUUAUAUUGAGAUAAUCUAACUAUUAGGUUCUGUUCGAACUUUAUCUCCUACGUGAUCUGAGUUCAGACCGG